UUUCCGUAGGUGAACCUGCGGAAGGAUCAUUAUUGUAUAACCGAGGUGCGAGGGCUGUCGCUGGCUUUCCCGCCUGGGAAGCAUGUGCACGCCUUGCUUUUCGUUGACCUUUCUCUUACUCUCACACCUGUGCACCCAUUGUAGGUCCUCGAAAGAGGAUCUAUGUUUUUAUCAUCACACGCAUCGUAUGUCCAUAGAAUGUAACAUGAUCGUCGAUCGACCUCGCGGUCGGGUGGCGGUCUAAAUAAAUAAAUACAACUUUCAGCAACGGAUCUCUUGGCUCUC
Molecule: unclassified non-coding RNA, 285 nt
Filed under: plant metagenome
Description: partial contains small subunit ribosomal RNA, internal transcribed spacer 1, and 5.8S ribosomal RNA
Source: RNAcentral